Molecule: ribosomal RNA, 253 nt
Filed under: uncultured bacterium
Lineage: Bacteria
Description: partial 16S ribosomal RNA
Rfam family: Bacterial small subunit ribosomal RNA
Source: RNAcentral
GACGUAGGGCGCAAGCGUUGUCCGGAUUUAUUGGGCGUAAAGAGCUCGUAGGCGGUUUGUCGCGUCUGCUGUGAAAACUCGGGGCUUAACUCCGGGCCUGCAGUGGGUACGGGCAGACUAGAGUGCGGUAGGGGAGACUGGAAUUCCUGGUGUAGCGGUGAAAUGCGCAGAUAUCAGGAGGAACACCGGUGGCGAAGGCGGAUCUCUGGGCCUUACCUGACGCUCAGGCACGAAAGCUAGGGGAGCGAACAGG